Molecule: ribosomal RNA, 506 nt
Filed under: uncultured Pseudomonadota bacterium
Lineage: Bacteria; Pseudomonadati; Pseudomonadota
Description: bacterial SSU rRNA
Rfam family: Bacterial small subunit ribosomal RNA
Source: RNAcentral
CCGCGUGAGUGAAGAAGGCCUUCGGGUCGUAAAGCUCUUUAGGUUGGGAAGAAGGUUACGAGUGGAUAAAGCUAGUAACUUGACGGUACCGACAGAAUAAGCACCGGCAAACUCUGUGCCAGCAGCCGCGGUAAUACAGAGGGUGCGAGCGUUAAUCGGAAUUACUGGGCGUAAAGGGCGCGUAGGCGGUGAGAUGUGUGUGGUGUGAAAGCCCUGGGCUUAACCUGGGAAGUGCACCGCAAACUAUCUGACUGGAGUAUAUGAGAGGGUGGCGGAAUUUCCGGUGUAGCGGUGAAAUGCGUAGAGAUCGGAAGGAACGUCAAUGGCGAAGGCAGCCACCUGGCAUAAUACUGACGCUGAGGCGCGAAAGCGUGGGGAGCGAACAGGAUUAGAUACCCUGGUAGUCCACGCUGUAAACGAUGAGGACUAGAUGUUGGUAGGGGAACCUAUCAGUAUCGAAGCUAACGCGAUAAGUCUUCCGCCUGGGAAGUACGGCCGCAAGGUUG